This is a long non-coding RNA of Diceros bicornis minor, 690 nucleotides long. RefSeq lists it as uncharacterized. The record is from RefSeq and is a predicted model, not a curated record. Lineage: Eukaryota; Metazoa; Chordata; Mammalia; Perissodactyla; Rhinocerotidae. The transcript has 4 exons.
CCCACAGGGACCUGGUUGUCAGAUGCACGGGUCUCACUAUGGGAGCUGUCCCCACCUGCUCUGCCUGAGGAGCCACUCCUCACAACGGCCCCGCCCCAAACUGCGCCAGCCAGUCCCAGCUGCUAAGGGCCCAGGCGAGCACAGUCUUCCAUGCCGACCGGUGCAGGUGCACUUACCCGCGUCCCUCUCCCCGCUGCCCAGGAGAAUGAGGACAAUGUGAUGCUCAGCCGCUGAGGCCAAUCCAGGUAACCAGCUGCUGCCGCCCAGUCAGCCCCCCUGGUGUUCCAGCCCAAGGCAGGCAGCACUCUGUGCUUGGGGCCUUGGGGCCGGUCCAGCGGGGAGCCUGCCUUGAUCUCUGCGAUCAGGAAUGUGGCUGAGCAGAUGCAGCUUCUACCUCCAAAUGGACACGCCUCUCAGAUGCUCUGUUGCUAGAAGGGUCCUGGCAGUGCAGGGAAAGGUGGCUCUGCACUGGAGGCUCCACAUAAAGGGCUCAAAACUUCUGGUCCAGUGUCUAAAAGCUGUUCACAGGGAUGACUGGACCCUACUAAGCAUUCUUUCAUCUGUAGUGAACAUUUCACCAAAAAAAACUCUUGGACAGGCUGGAGGAUCAGUACUACGUGCUCAAGCCCACGGCCUUGCCCUCCAACUUCCACCUGACUGAGAAGGAGGAGCUAAAGGCCGUGGCCACCC